This 253-nucleotide ribosomal RNA is filed under the name uncultured bacterium. RNAcentral describes it as "partial 16S ribosomal RNA". It matches the Rfam family "Bacterial small subunit ribosomal RNA", at positions 524 to 776 of the family's 1533-position model. The record is from RNAcentral.
GACAGAGGGUGCAAACGUUGCUCGGAAUCACUGGGCGUAAAGGGCGUGUAGGCGGGUAGGAAAGUCAGAUGUGAAAUCCCCGGGCUCAACCUGGGACCUGCAUUUGUGACUGCAUAGCUAGAGUACGGUAGAGGGGGAUGGAAUUCCGCGUGUAGCAGUGAAAUGCGUAGAUAUGCGGAGGAACACCGAUGGCGAAGGCAAUCCCCUGGACCUGUACUGACGCUCAUGCACGAAAGCGUGGGGAGCAAACAGG